AAUGACAAGAGGUAUGGUGCUCUGAAAACAUUAGGGGAGCGGAAGCAAACUUUUAACGAGUAGUAUUACAUUGAUAAUGCUUUUCUGCAACCUGUAUUGCUUUUCUUGGAGGCUGAGGAGCGACGCUUGAGGCAGAAGAAAGCAAAGGAAGAGUUUACAAAAAUGUUGGAAGAGUCAGAGGUACUUACAUCAUCGAUAAAAUGGAGUAAAGCUGUUACUAUGUUUGAAGAUGAUGAGCGGUUCAAAGCUGUCGAAAAGCCGAAAGAUCGGCAGGAGCUUUUCGAUAAUUACUUGGUGGAACUCCAAAAAAG
Long non-coding RNA from Spinacia oleracea (spinach), 311 nucleotides. RefSeq lists it as uncharacterized. Lineage: Eukaryota; Viridiplantae; Streptophyta; Magnoliopsida; Caryophyllales; Amaranthaceae. The transcript has 4 exons. The record is from RefSeq and is a predicted model, not a curated record.